This is a non-coding RNA of Paramuricea clavata, 73 nucleotides long. NCBI's taxonomy places the organism in Eukaryota, Metazoa, Cnidaria, Anthozoa, Malacalcyonacea, Plexauridae. The record is from the annotation of a GenBank genome assembly.
GACCGCGUAGCUCAGUUGGCAGAGCAUUGGGCUAGUAUUCCAAAGGUCGUAGGUUCGAUUCCCACCGUGGUCA